GUUUCCUCAAGCGCCUUUUUUGCACUCUUUGGGUAAAUGAAUAAAAUUUGGGUGAUGAGCAAAGCACAUAAAUAUUGGGUGUCCUAGAAAAAGGUCAGAUGCUCCCGUUUUGUAUUUGCCUGUCACCUGGCUUGGCAUAUUUAAGAAAGAUCCAGAACUCUGGGUGGUCCCCAGGUUUCUCUCUUCUGCCUUCCCUUGGAGGCCAUCAGUGGAUCUCUGUGCCAACCAGGUGCAGAGGAGCCGGCAUCACUUUCAUUACACCUACAUGCUCCAGUAUCAAUCACGCCACCAUGGCGGCCUGUCUGGGAGCAGUUCAUUUCAAGCAGAUCCUGCGCCUAUCUGACUACAGCCACCAGAGUCAGGACUGACACAGCCUCCAAGACAACCAGCAGCCUCCUCUGAAGGGCAGGGCACAGCACAGCCCAGGAGCCUCUGCUGUGAGUGGAGCACUCAAGGCCCAGGGCGGUCCUAGAAAUCAUUAACCACAGGAGCCGAUCUUCUAGCAGAAGGGAGGGGAGUGCAAGACCCUGCUGCUGGGCCAGUCAGGGAUGUUAAAACAAGCGUUUCAAAGAGACACUUCCAUUCACUCUAAACCCACAAGAGAGAUGGAGUGACAGAGCCAUUUAUUUGCAGAAGAGCUGGGUAGGGAUGGAAAGGAGAGGCAGAGAGAAAAAGGAAGAGAGAAAAAAGGAGAGAUGGGAGAGGGAGAGGUAAAGGGGAGAGAGAAAAGGUUCAGAAAGCAUGUAGGGAGAGAAAGAGAUAGAGAAGGAUAUGGGGCUUUACGCAAGCACAUUGUAGUUCAUCAGCACCGUACCUUGGCUCAGAGUCUGGAGGAAGAUUCAGCUGAGCCGUGUAUAUAUGCGGUACUUCUCAGAGACUAGAAUAGAAUACAAUAGCCAUGCUGAUGCUGAUGAUACUCAUGAUACCGGUGCUGGUGAUGCUGUUGAGCAUUCUCUGUGUCCUGCCUUUGGUUUAUGUUCUUUACAAACACAGCCUCAAAGAGACACUGAUGUAUAGAACAGUCUUAUGGACUCUGUGGGAGAGGGAGAGGGUGGGAAGAUUUGGGAGAAUGACAUUGAAACAUGUAAAGUAUCAUGUAAGAAACGAAUUGCCAGUCCAGGUUCGAUGCACGAUACUGGAUGCUUGGGGCUAGUGCACUGGGACGACCCAGAGGGAUGGUAUGGGGAGGGAGGAGGGAGGAGGGAGGAGGGUUCAGGAUGGGGAACACAUGUAUACCUGUGGCGGAUUCAUUUCGAUAUUUGGCAAAACUAAUACAAUUAUGUAAAGUUUAAAAAUAAAAUAAAAUUAAAAAAAAAAACA
This 1320-nucleotide long non-coding RNA is filed under the name Bos indicus x Bos taurus (hybrid cattle). Its description in RNAcentral is "lncRNA (ENSBIXG00005013039.1)". Lineage: Eukaryota; Metazoa; Chordata; Mammalia; Artiodactyla; Bovidae. The record is from RNAcentral.